CAGCUCCAAUAGCGUAUAUUAAAGUUGUUGCAGUUAAAAAGCUCGUAGUUGAAUUUCGGGGUUAGUAGGUUGGUCAUGCCUCUGGUAUGUACUGGUCUCACUGAUUCCUCCUUCCUGAUGAACCUUAAUGCCAUUUAUUUGGUGUUUUGGGGAAUUUGGACUGUUACUUUGAAAAAAUUAGAGUGUUUAAAGCAAGCUAACGCUUGAAUACAUUAGCAUGGAAUAAUGAAAUAGGACGUUCGAUCCUAUUUUGUUGGUUUCUAGGAUUGACGUAAUGAUUAACAGGGAUAGUUGGGGGCAUUAGUAUUCAAUUGUCAGAGGUGAAAUUCUUGGAUUUAUUGAAGACUAACUACUGCGAAAGCAUUUGCCAAGGAUGUUUUCAUUAAUCAAGAACGAAAGUUAGGGGAUCGAAGACGAUCAGAUACCGUCGUAGUCUUAACCAUAAACUAUGCCGACUAGGGAUCGGAUGAU
Molecule: ribosomal RNA, 471 nt
Filed under: uncultured Glomus
Lineage: Eukaryota; Fungi; Glomeromycota; Glomeromycetes; Glomerales; Glomeraceae
Description: SSU rRNA
Rfam family: Eukaryotic small subunit ribosomal RNA
Source: RNAcentral